CCUAGGGGUGGCAGCAGUGGGGAAUAUUGCACAAUGGGGGAAACCCUGAUGCAGCGACGCCGCGUGAGCGCUGAAGUAUUUCGGUAUGUAAAGCUCUAUCAGCAGGGAAGAAAAUGACGGUACCUGACUAAGAAGCCCCGGCUAACUACGUGCCAGCAGCCGCGGUAAUACGUAGGGGGCAAGCGUUAUCCGGAUUUACUGGGUGUAAAGGGAGCGUAGACGGUCCUGCAAGCCAGAUGUGAAAGCCCGGGGCUCAACCCUGGGACUGCUCUGGAAACUGUAAAGCUGGAGUGCGGGAGGGGCAGGCGGAAUUCCUGGUGUAGCGGUGAAAUGCGUAGAUAUCAGGAGGAACACCGGCGGCGAAGGCGGCCUGCUGGACCGUAACUGACGUUGAGGCUCGAAAGCGUGGGGAGCAAACAGGAUUAGAUACCCCUGUAGUC
Molecule: ribosomal RNA, 440 nt
Filed under: uncultured bacterium
Lineage: Bacteria
Description: partial 16S ribosomal RNA
Rfam family: Bacterial small subunit ribosomal RNA
Source: RNAcentral